UACGUAGGGGCAAGCGUUGUCCGGAUUCAUUGGGCGUAAAGAGCGUGUAGGCGGCCAGGUAGGUCGGUUGUGAAAACCUGGAGGCUCAACCUUCAGAGGUCGACCGAAACCAUCUGGCUAGAGUCCGGGAGAGGAGAGUGGAAUUCCGUGGUGUAGCGGUGAAAUGCGCAGAUAGUCAGGAAGAACACCCGUGGCGAAAGCGGCUCUCUGGAACGGUACUGGACGCUGAGACGCGAAAGCGUGGGGAGCAACAGG
RNAcentral lists this ribosomal RNA (255 nucleotides) under uncultured bacterium. Its description in RNAcentral is "partial 16S ribosomal RNA". It matches the Rfam family "Bacterial small subunit ribosomal RNA", at positions 524 to 775 of the family's 1533-position model. The record is from RNAcentral.